This 1098-nucleotide long non-coding RNA is filed under the name Phasianus colchicus (ring-necked pheasant). RNAcentral's name for it is "lncRNA (ENSPCLG00000020308.1)". The record is from RNAcentral. Lineage: Eukaryota; Metazoa; Chordata; Aves; Galliformes; Phasianidae.
CUGCUUUUUUUUAACUACUGACUGGUUUUAUUUUGCUCCUCCGCAGAGGCUCACAGGAAUCUACUUUUACUCACCUAUUAUCACUUGCUUUACUGCUGGUAACAGGAAUUUGCCAAUGGAAAUAUCUUAAGAGAGAGACUACAGAGAUUUGCUGAAUAAAAACGAAGAAAAAGCAGUGAAUGCUACAGCUUGCCAGAGCAAGGGAGAAAAGUAAAUUCGAUAUGUUAAUAUCAAAGUAUUUUCUUUUCACAAUCCAUCCUCAUAUAGGCACAAAGUCAAUUCUGUCUUAUGAACCUCCUUUUCUGUGCUGUUCCAGGAGAUACAGUGAGAAGUAAGGCUCACUGCAAGGGCUGCGAUAGCUACAGCCUCACAGGUCACCUCAGCACUAUCUCCUUGGCCAGACAACUUUAAUGAGGCUCCCUGGUACUUCAACUGCCUGGAAGGAGGUUGUGGCAAGGUGGGGGACAGACUCUUCUUCCAGGUAACAAUGACAGAAUGAAAGGGAACAGGCUUAAAUAGUACAAGGAGAGGUUCUUAGGAAAAAUUUCUUCUCAGAAAGAGUGGUGAGACACACAUGGGCUGCCCAGGGCAUGGUGGGGUUACUGUCCUUGGAGGUGUUCAGGAAACAUGGAGAUAUGGCACUGAGGGACAUGGUUAGUGGGCAUGGUGGUGGUGGGUUGAUGGUUGAACUAGAAAAUCUUGGAGAUCUUUUCCAACUUUAAUGAUUAUAUACAUUUCAAAGUUGUUUUUUAACUUUGGUUCAUCCCCACUUACAGUAUGGACAGUGCUUGUUUUGUGAAGCUUUUCAUGUUACAGAUCACCCCAUUGCACUUAAAGACUUUAUGAAGGGGAAGAACAUUUUAGGAGAUACAGAAAGCAGAAGUUAACAUCUGUAGAACUGGAGCUUGACCAUUGGAACUAAAUUAAAUUAAAUCUGCCUCGAACUGCUGUUAGAAACUUGUAUGGUAUUUCCCAUUAAAAUCGGUCUGCUCCUCUCAGUACCAUUGCUUCUCAACUCCAUUCACUGCUGUACUCUGAGAUGACAACAGCAUCUUUCAGAAUGUGGGUAACUACACCAUGCUUCCCAACAGGAUGCAG